AUGGCUCAGAUUAAACGCUGGCGGCAGGCCUAACACAUGCAAGUCGAGCGGUAGCACAAGAGAGCUUGCUCUCUGGGUGACGAGCGGCGGACGGGUGAGUAAUGUUUGGGAAACUGCCUGAUGGUGGGGGAUAACUAGUGGAAACGGUAGCUAAUACCGCAUAAUGUCGCAAGACCAAAGUGGGGGACCUUCGGGCCUCACGCCAUCAGAUGUGCCCAGAUGGGAUUAGCUGUUAGGUGGGGUAAUGGCUCACCUAGGCGACGAUCCCUAGCUGGUCUGAGAGGAUGACCAGCCACACUGGAACUGAGACACGGUCCAGACUCCUACGGGAGGCAGCAGUGGGGAAUAUUGCACAAUGGGCGCAAGCCUGAUGCAGCCAUGCCGCGUGUGUGAAGAAGGCCUUCGGGUUGUAAAGCACUUUCAGCGAGGAGGAAGGGUAAUGUGU
RNAcentral lists this ribosomal RNA (445 nucleotides) under Serratia symbiotica. RNAcentral describes it as "bacterial SSU rRNA". It matches the Rfam family "Bacterial small subunit ribosomal RNA", at positions 19 to 460 of the family's 1533-position model. The record is from RNAcentral. Lineage: Bacteria; Pseudomonadati; Pseudomonadota; Gammaproteobacteria; Enterobacterales; Yersiniaceae.